RNAcentral lists this ribosomal RNA (301 nucleotides) under uncultured bacterium. RNAcentral's name for it is "partial 16S ribosomal RNA". It matches the Rfam family "Bacterial small subunit ribosomal RNA", at positions 509 to 807 of the family's 1533-position model. The record is from RNAcentral.
CAGCAGCCGCGGGAAUACGGAGGGUGCAAGCGUUAAUCGGAAUUACUGGGCGUAAAGCGCACGCAGGCGGUCUGUUAAGUCAGAUGUGAAAUCCCCGGGCUCAACCCGGGAACUGCAUUUGAAACUGGCAGGCUUGAGUCUUGUAGAGGGGGGUAGAAUUCCAGGUGUAGCGGUGAAAUGCGUAGAGAUCUGGAGGAAUACCGGUGGCGAAGGCGGCCCCCUGGACAAAGACUGACGCUCAGGUGCGAAAGCGUGGGGAGCAAACAGGAUUAGAUACCCCGGUAGUCCCUGUCUCUUAUAC